UUGUAAAAAUCAAAGGUGUAACCUGCCCAAUGAUCUUAAAAUUAAUAAGAAUAACUUUUUUAUAAUAAGAUUUAAAGGACGCAGUAUCCUGACUGUGAUAAUGUAGCAUAAUCAUUCGCCAUUUAAUUGAUGGAUAGUAUGAAUGGUUGAACGAAUUCUUCACUGUCUUAAAAAGAGAACUUAUGAAAUUAAAAUAAUAGUAAAGAUGCUAUUUAAAAUUGUAAGACGAAAAGACCCUAUAGAGCUUAACUACAAUUUCUUUUAAAAAAAUAGAAUAAAAUCCUAAAAUAAAGAGAUAGGUAGUUUAGUUGGGGCGACUAUCUUCUAAAAAUAACGAAGACAAGCAAUAUUAAUGAACAAAUUUAUUGUAUAACCAAUGAGUUUAACAAUUAUAAAAGUAGGCCAUAAUGACCCGUUUUUAUUAAAUAAUAAAAAAAAACGAUCAAUAAAUAAAAGCUACCUUAGGGAUAACAGGAUAAUUUUGUUCUAGAGACCAUAUCGAAAACAAAGUUUGUCACCUCUAUGUUGAAUUAAGAUAUCCUGAUAAUGCAGAAGUUAUCAAAGGUAGGUCUGUUCGACCUUUAAA
RNAcentral lists this ribosomal RNA (586 nucleotides) under Hydrissa sodalis. RNAcentral describes it as "partial 16S ribosomal RNA". It matches the Rfam family "Bacterial large subunit ribosomal RNA", at positions 1837 to 2592 of the family's 2925-position model. Lineage: Eukaryota; Metazoa; Cnidaria; Hydrozoa; Anthoathecata; Hydractiniidae. The record is from RNAcentral.